GGCUCCUUCUGGGGGAGGGCGCCUCUCCUCCCCCGCCCCCGGUCUGCGCCCACCGUGGCCUUUAACUCCCCCCUUCCUCCGUUACCGUCUCCCUCCUUCCCACCUCCCCCACCCGCUGCUCAUCAACACGAAUUCGAUUUGAUUUCGAUUGAUUGAUUGCAACUUUGCUGCGAGGAGGGGGGGAACAGGAGGUCUUCGCUAAGUUCCUGGUUGUUUGUUCUUCGAUUUGAGAGUCGCGGACUCCUUGGAUUUCCUCUAGGGGGGGAAAGGACCCUAUCUUCUCUCAGCCGUGGAAUGGACGCGAGGGAGGUGUGAAGCCUGGUUGUUAACUGAUGCUCGUGGAGAGAUUUGGGGGAGAGGAGCGCGCGGUGAGGAGGCGGUGGAGGCGGAAGCGCCGAAGGGUUGGACACCAGCGCAGCGACGGACGACGCGCAGUCGGCGGGGGACGAGGCCUCGAAGAAGGCUGCUCCGCCACUGACGGCCGCCGACGCUGCCGCCAUGGGGGAGUCGCUGCUCACCGCGCUCUCCAUGGAUACCGCCACGGCCCACCAUCCGCACCAGGGCCCCUCCACCUUCCUCUCCAUGGACACCGCCUCCCACGACGAUUUCGACCUCUUCCUCCCGCCGCCGGGGCCCUUCCAACGCUGCCUCCAUGCCGCGGCGGCCGCCCCCCCUGACAUCAACCUCCCCCUCGCCGCUGACCCCUCCCCUCCCCCUCCCGCCCUGCAGACAAACACUCUCCAUGAAUCCAACGUAGACAUGCUAGAUGUCGGCCUCGGCUGCCCGCAGCUCUAUGACUCAGACUCGCCUGCUGCUGCUGGGGUGGCCUCUGCCCCAGUAUCCACAAUGACAAUUGUCCCUGUGUCUCACACAAAGAGCUCCGGUUCCAGCGCCGCACGCAAGUGCGUGAAGCGGAACGAUAGCAUCUGGGGUGCAUGGUUCUUCUUCACCCACUACUUCAAGCCGGUCAUGUCGGCUGAUAAGGGUGGCAAGUCAAAGGCAGCCACGGCCGGUGUGAAUGGUAAUAAUGCCACGCUGGAUGCUUUCCUGGUUCAGCACGACAUGGAGAACAUGUACAUGUGGGUGUUUAAGGACCGGCCAGAGAAUGCCCUGGGGAAGAUGCAGCUGAGGAGCUUCAUGAAUGGUCACUCACGCCUUGGUGAGCCGCAGUUUCCUUUCAGCGCAGACAAAGGGUUUGUGCGCUCACACCGGAUGCAACGUAAGCAUUAUCGUGGGCUGUCAAACCCCCAGUGCCUUCAUGGGAUUGAGAUUGUGCGGACACCGAAUCUGGUGGGUGUGCCUGAGGCCGAUCUGAAGAGGUGGUUUGAGCUCACCGGGAGGGAUGCCAAUUUCUCGAUCCCCACUGAGGCGGGUGAUUUUGAGUCAUGGAGGAAUCUUCCGAGCACAGAAUUUGAGCUCGAGAGGCCAGCAACUGCUGCUCCAGCAAAGAGCACCGCACAUGGCCAUCACAAGAAGUUGCUGAAUGGUUCUGGUCUUAACCUGUCAACACAUGCAUCGAAGCAUGGUUCUGGGGAUGGUUUGGACAUCUCAGCUGUGUGCCAUAAACGCCGAAAGGAUUCCUCCCCCUCUGCCAUGGAAGAGGACUGCAGCAAUUCAAAUUCAGACAAGUUGCAGGACAUGGAUGUAAGCCACAGCUUUGAGCCAUCAUGGAUGAAUGACUUCUCUGGUGUAAUGCGCCAUGCUUCUGGGCCAGUAACUGCUGCAAAAACAAUAUAUGAAGAUAGCAAGGGCUACUUGAUCAUCAUUAGUCUGCCAUUUGCUGAUAUACAAAAGGUGAAGGUUACAUGGAAGAACACUCCCACAAAUGGGAUCGUUAAGAUAUCAUGCACUAGUGUUGGUCGGAUGCCAGUCCUGAAGCGGCAUGAUCGGACCUUCAAGUUGGCGGAUUCUUCCCCUGAGCAUUGUUCACCAGGAGAUUUUAUUAGGGAAGUUACAUUGCCUACCCGGAUUCCAGAAGAUGCUACUUUGGAAGCAUACUGUGAUGAAACAGGAACAGGUCUAGAAAUUAUUGUUCCUAAAUACCGUGUUGGUCCUGAAGAACAUGAAGUUCAUGUGUCUCUGAGGCCCCCCUCAUCAUGGUGUCAAUGAAAUACAACUUCAAGUUUGCGAGGGGACUUGCUGCGGAUGUUACCAUGCAACAAUGCAGUUCAGUUUUGCUAAUUGUGAUGGAAACAAUCCUAAUCAGUUGAAGCAUUCUGGUAAUUGGGAGUUGAUAACUGCAGCACUUCAAACAUUUUAGGAACAUGCUAUAGGUCACAAGGGACAUUUCUGGAUUACUUGCUUUGUGUCUCAUUAUCUUUACCGUGGAAUACAUUAUGUAUUACCGUUUACUUUUGUCAAAGUUUUCUUUGUAUGAAAGGCUUGCCGCUUGUUUGGUGUGCUUCCAUAUGUGCAUUACUGCGGUGAACUGUAUAGGCACUUAUAGUCAAUUUCCAUAGGGGCGAGAAGUAAGUUUGUGGGCAUUCUUGGAAACUUUAUCUCAUUUGUUUGAUGGGAACUAGGAAAGGAGUUGACAGUGGGUUUGUUGAUGUUUUAGGGAACUAGUCUUUUGUUAGCAUUUGAACGUUUUCCAGGAAUUACUGGAAGGCAAGUGUAAUUGAUUGAAGCUACCAAUGUAAUCUAUCUGUUAUCAAAUAUCAACAUAGACUAGUGUUAUCAGUUAUGACUUA
Brachypodium distachyon (stiff brome) is the source of this 2690-nucleotide RNA transcript. RefSeq lists it as uncharacterized. The transcript is spliced from 3 exons. NCBI's taxonomy places the organism in Eukaryota, Viridiplantae, Streptophyta, Magnoliopsida, Poales, Poaceae. The record is from RefSeq and is a predicted model, not a curated record.